Molecule: ribosomal RNA, 564 nt
Filed under: uncultured Glomeromycotina
Lineage: Eukaryota; Fungi; Glomeromycota
Description: SSU rRNA
Rfam family: Eukaryotic small subunit ribosomal RNA
Source: RNAcentral
UUGGAGGGCAAGUCUGGUGCCAGCAGCCGCGGUAAUUCCAGCUCCAAUAGCGUAUAUUAAAGUUGUUGCAGUUAAAAAGCUCGUAGUUGAAUUUCGGGAUCAGAGUGUCGGUCGUGCCUCGGUACGCACUGGUAUUAUUGGUUCCUACCUUCUGAAGAACCGCGAUGUCAUUAAUUUGGUGUCGUGGGGAAUCAGGACUGUUACUUUGAAAAAAUUAGAGUGUUUAAAGCAGGCUUACGCUUGAAUACAUUAGCAUGGAAUAAUGAAAUAGGACGUUUGAUUCUAUUUUGUUGGUUUCUAGGAUUGACGUAAUGAUUAAUAGGGAUAGUUGGGGGCAUUAGUAUUCAAUUGUCAGAGGUGAGAUUCUUGGAUUUAUUGAGGACUAACUACUGCGAAAGCAUUUGCCAAGGAUGUUUUCAUUAAUCAAGAACGAAAGUUAGGGGAUCGAAGACGAUCAGAUACCGUCGUAGUCUUAACCAUAAACUAUGCCGACUAGGGAUCGGAUGAUGUUAAUUUUUUAAUGACUCAUUCGGCGCCUUACGGGAAACCAAAGUGUUUGGGUUC